This 400-nucleotide unclassified non-coding RNA is filed under the name uncultured fungus. RNAcentral describes it as "sequence contains ITS1". The record is from RNAcentral. Lineage: Eukaryota; Fungi.
ACGUCAUCCCCACCUUCCUCCGAGUUGACCCCGGCAGUCUCCCAUGAGUCCCCGCCAUAACGCGCUGGCAACAUGGAACGAGGGUUGCGCUCGUUGCGGGACUUAACCCAACAUCUCACGACACGAGCUGACGACAACCAUGCACCACCUGUGAACGGCGCAAAAGCACCCCACAUCUCUGCAGGUAGACCGAACAUGUCAAGCCCAGGUAAGGUUCUUCGCGUUGCAUCGAAUUAAGCCACAUGCUCCGCCGCUUGUGCGGGCCCCCGUCAAUUCCUUUGAGUUUUAGCCUUGCGGCCGUACUCCCCAGGCGGGGAACUUAAUGCGUUAGCUGCGGCACAGAGCCCGUGGAAUGGACCCCACACCUAGUUCCCAACGUUUACGGCGUGGACUACCAGGG